This 490-nucleotide ribosomal RNA is filed under the name uncultured bacterium. RNAcentral's name for it is "partial 16S ribosomal RNA". It matches the Rfam family "Bacterial small subunit ribosomal RNA", at positions 28 to 507 of the family's 1533-position model. The record is from RNAcentral.
GAUGAACGCUAGCUACAGGCUUAACACAUGCAAGUCGAGGGGCAGCAUGGUCUUAGCUUGCUAAGGCCGAUGGCGACCGGCGCACGGGUGAGUAACACGUAUCCAACCUGCCGUCUACUCUUGGACAGCCUUCUGAAAGGAAGAUUAAUACAAGAUGGCAUCAUGAGUUCACAUGUUCACAUGAUUAAAGGUAUUCCGGUAGACGAUGGGGAUGCGUUCCAUUAGAUAGUAGGCGGGGUAACGGCCCACCUAGUCUUCGAUGGAUAGGGGUUCUGAGAGGAAGGUCCCCCACAUUGGAACUGAGACACGGUCCAAACUACUACGGGAGGCAGCAGUGAGGAAUAUUGGUCAAUGGGCGAGAGCCUGAACCAGCCAAGUAGCGUGAAGGAUGACUGCCCUAUGGGUUGUAAACUUCUUUUAUAAAGGAAUAAAGUCGGGUAUGUAUACCCGUUUGCAUGUACUUUAUGAAUAAGGAUCGGCUAACUCCGUG